CGCGAGGAAAGCUCUACGGGGGCCCAGCGCAGCCCGCUCGUGCACCACGAUCACGGGUUUGGCGGUGUGGGGAAGCAAAAAGGCCGUCGACACCAUGAUCUCUAGCUGCGCCCACA
RNAcentral lists this non-coding RNA (116 nucleotides) under uncultured eukaryote. The record is from RNAcentral.